Molecule: unclassified non-coding RNA, 5895 nt
Filed under: Hermetia illucens (black soldier fly)
Lineage: Eukaryota; Metazoa; Arthropoda; Insecta; Diptera; Stratiomyidae
Description: serine-rich adhesin for platelets-like, transcript variant X6
Source: RNAcentral
CCCUUCGAUUAAAAGAUGAUGGGAACUGAUGAUCGUAGUUCCACAGCUAGUACCGUGAGUGAAGUAUUUAAGACAGUUCUGCAGAGUCCGGCACCGAUAUGCAUGUUCUAUCUUUCACAUCCCUUCGGAGUGGUAUCUCCAUCAUCGGGAAGCGAUGCCUUCAAAAGCCGAACGUUCUCAUCGUAUCCUGGCAGAGAUGAUCAAAUAGUUUCCGGCGACAAUGAUGAUGGUGACGGGAACGACGCGCUAUAUCAAAGACGAAGGCGGAAACAGUUGGGUGAAAAGCCUGUCGUUCUGAAUAGAACCAACGCAAGGAGACGAGAAGAUUGGUCGGGAAACUUGACAGGGUGUAAUCACGACGCCCGAACAACAAGUGGCCUGAGGGAUAGCUCGAGGAUGCGAUCCGGACACCUCAUCCCGUGGCCUAGGGAUACAUGGAGGAGGGAAUUCGUACUGCCACCCCUGAUCCAGUUCCGUGGAAAACAGAAAGACGAAGCAACUGCACCUGAUUUAGAAGUGAUACUUAGAACUAUACGACAGGCUUGGAAUUCGCCAUAUCCUAGAUCAAAUCUACAAAGUCGUUCGUACGAAGAUACCGAUACACCUACGUCUGAGUGGAAUAUCCCCACUACACGAAAUUUUGGAGUAAAAUUCAGACAACAGCAGAAACUAAGUGAUAUCAGCAAAAUGGGCUCAGGAAAUAAUUCAACGCCCGUCAUAUCCGGAUUAUUAAGGAGACGCUACUCCGUCCCGGAAAUCAUAAUGAGAAAACACAGUCUAGCUCAACAGAAAUCUUUUGACGAGAGUUCAGCGGCAACAGCACCAUCUCCUAAUCGUUCUCCGGCACCAGUCUAUCAUAAAUCUUACUCAACAAACACCCCCACUCGAACCUAUCCACUUUCAUCUGGAUCAGAUUCGAAUCUGUCCCUUCGACGUUUCGAUCAUCGUGGCGGUGAGAUGUCCAUGCGCAAAUCAACCCUACUUCGUCGCAUUUGGAGCCGUGAAUUGAAAAGAUAUGAUGACACACGUUCAGGAAGCUGGUCACCACCAAUGCGUCGAUCACAACGUCGCCUUCAUCCUGAACCAGUGGAACAACAUCGUUGCGAGGAAUGUCGCAAGCUUGAAGACGAUCACAGCGAUGAGUCUGAAGAAUUGGUUGUUGGAGCAUCACGUAAACGUCUACGAUUGAUUUCUUCACAUGGAAAGGAGGCCAUCGAUCAGUCAUCCGCCUCAUAUCAUACCUCAUCUGCAAAUUAUACACAAUCGACAUCCGAAAGGACCCAGAUAACAACACCAAAUAAUGGCAGCCUGGAGAGCACACCACUGAAGUCAGCGUCAACAACAACCACUACCUCCUCUUCGAUUCAAAAAUCGAACAAUGUUCAUAUUUACAUGACCCCAAUCAAAUCAGACCAAUCAAAUUCUGAACCGAUCGAUCAGGGUCAAGAUAUGCUUCACGUAGAAAUAGAUGUAGAUAAUAGUGAAACAAAUGGGAACAGUAUUCAGAUGAAUUCGGACGAAAACCAGAACGAACAAGCUUUGGUCGAAAGUCCGCAAACCGUGGUUCCUGGGAAGACCACAACUGUCAGUGGCACCGGGGACUCUCCUCUAGAUAAGUUCAUAUCAAAACUACUCAUUGACAACUUAGCCGAUCUUGCCGACGAGAUCAACGAACAGUUUGAAAACAACAACAACCUCAUGAGAAACACAUCCACCCCGAAAUCUAAACGAGUCUCUGUGGUAUACCUCACUCCUGAGCAUAUGGAAGCGGUCGUUAGCAGAUCCCAGAACUCGACAACCGACAACAUAUCAUCAGACAGUAACAACCUCAUGAUCACCACAGAUUCAUCUAACAAUGAACGAAUCAUCUACUUUCCAAGUUGCUCUUUGGAAUGCAAGGAUGACAUGUCGAGCUUCAAUUCAAACUGUUCAGACAUUGAACUUCAUAACAUAUCUGGAGAAAGUCUAGUCACAGUCAAUGCUGGAAGUGCAUACCUGCAAAACGCACACACAACUACUUUGGUAGUCCCACGAAUGCUGAAUAAAUUCCCCCGAACUGAGUCCUUGGAAGCUGAAUACUCCUUGACCUCAGCCAGAGAAGAAGAGGAGGACAAUGCAAAUGGGAACGAUACAGACGAUAGUGUUAGUCUAGUCGAUAGUUUAGAUGAACCGCAUCCUUCCAGCAACAAUAAUGAAAAUUCGGCAGAAAAGACUGAGGAAAUUACGGAUGAACCCAAGACUGAGCCUAAUAAUCCCGACGAUGAAGAGGCAGAUGAGGAGGAGAAUACCCCUUCAAUGUGCCGAGAACCUGAAGCUUUUUUCAUUCCUAUAGCUGGUUCUGAGUCAGAGAAGGUCCGAUCUGGCAGUGUGAGUGAAGCCAUGCCAGAAAAGUUGAAGGAAAGGAUCAUACAACGGCAACGUGAAUUAGACAAGAAGAAAAUCGAAGAGCAUCGGAAGAAGCAGAAGAAGUUGGAAGAACUAAUAGAUCCUAAGUUAGAAGAGCAAGGCUUUACCGAAAAGUCACCAGUUCGGCUGAAAAAAGAUUCACCAGUUAAAGAAAAGCCUCCGGUUCCAAAGAAAUCGGAGAGCCUUACUAGAAAACUCAAAAGCAAAUCCAACGCUAUACAUCUUCACACAGAAAUCAGUCUCUUGGAGUCCUACACAAUCGACUCAAAGGGCAACAUGCAAAUGAGAGCCCCACAACAGAAGACUGAAUCCACGUCAACUGGCAUCACAAGCACAAGUGGCGCUACUAAGAAGCUAUAUCCUAGUAAGUCGAAGAUUCAGCGAAAGCAAAGCAUGAUUGCGCCAAAGCCACCAGAAAUUGCUCCUUCCAUACAGGACAGAAAACCACUGUCUUCAAGCUCACACAACAAGUCCAGAAGCCAAGCAAAGAGGGACGUCCAAAAGAUGACAAUUUUUCAGGCUCAAUCAGACAUAAUCACGCCUGACUCCGAGAACGGUCCACGCCGUGUAUACCAAAAGACUGAAAUUCAAGACGGAGAGAAACAUAUCGAAAUCUUGGAGAUUGUGGAAUGCAUCGAGAGCUCUCCGGAAAGUUCACCGGAUCGCCAUCAAACUUAUCGAUGUUCAAGUAAAUCCGCCUUAUCACGUCGAUCGAAAAUUCCUAUUCCCGUCUAUAAAAUGGGUAGAUCGUCCGGUUAUCAAAAAGCUAUACGCUGUCCCCUUCUACGUGAAGCCAGUCCAAAUAGUGUGAAAUGCAUCGCCCGAAAUCUCCAGACUAGCUCUUGCAACAAAGUUGAUCGUGUUAUUGCUGAGUUGCUCAUUGACGCACUGAACAGACCUGAAGAGAUCGGUAUAGAAAUCAUCAAGUCCCCGAAAGACCUAUCACGUGAUAAAUCCUCGAAGCGACAAAACAAUCAGCGACGAAACACUCCUCGUAGAUCGGCGAAUAACACAAAAUAUCAACAAGUUUUCGAGGUGAUACCAGAAGAAAAGAGUAGCUUUUCCGUGGACUCUUCCACGGACGAUGCUACCAAGUCGUCGUCCACAAAGGCUCGAACUAGGGACUCGUCUUCGACGCAAAUGAAGACUUCCGAUAGUACGGCUCCAACCAAAGAACUCAAUGAACUUCCAACAGAAUCGUCUUCAAGCACGUCAGCGACCAACCCAAAAUCCUCGACGACCAGCAAUCCAGGACGUCUAGCGGUGGACCAUGCAGAACCGAACGCCUGGAUCGGAUUCUUCAGGCGCCACGACAGCUCCAUGGACGAAGAUGAUUCUCCAUCUCAACCGUACCCCAACUCCACUGCCGCCUCAUCAUGUCAACCAACAAUAUCUUCACCAAGUACGAACACAGCUGCUGCCGGGACUACAACACCUAAAGACAUAUCAUCAGCUGAAUGUCUUAACAGUGCCGAGUCUGAUAAUGUCCUUAAGCUCAUCGACAAAACAUUCCAAAAUUCUACCAAAUCAAAAAUUCAAGCUCCUUCGAAACCUGCAUCAUCAUUAGACUAUGUCGCGGAAACUGCCACUACCGCUGCCACAAUCGCCUCUGGGACCACUUCCACUAUCACAUCUGAAACUUUUUCAAAUACAUGUAAUUCAUGUAAACUCUUGGAAAGGAAAAAUGGAGCUGAAACAUGCAAGAAUAUUGAAAACGCAAAACCAUCUAUAAAAAGCAAAAAACCUCAGAGCAAUGCACUUAGGAAGAGCAACACAGUUUUGAAAAUCGACUUGAAGCAAUCCUCGGAGAGUUCCAGCCAAAGUUCGAUCUCGUCAACAUCCACAACAGCCGAAGCGAGUUCUAGCUCAAAGGGAAGCGAAAAACCCAAAGACAAACUCAGUUCGGAAAAGGCUCAUCCGCCUGAUGUAUGGCGCGUUCAGUCCCCCGACAUAUGUAAAAAGGCAAUCCCGAAACUGAAAGGACGCGAGAACGAGCCAUCAACAUGUGAAACGAUGACUGAAAUCGACACUAAAUCGUUCAUUAUAAUCGAAGAUAGCUGUAACAUGAGUCCUUCAACGCUAAACUACUCAGCAAAUAUCCCAACAAAAGUCAUCCCUACCUCAACGGACUCGAACACCCCUAUCCUAACUAAUAAGUGUACAAUAUGCUGCUUUUGUAAUCCGGAUUUGCACAAAUCCGGUAAAACUACCUCCUCCACACCGUGCCCUUAUUGUAAUCGUAGACGUACACCUCCAAAACGCGAGGAGGAAACUAACACAGAAUCGGAUUAUUUUCUAAGCCACCCUUUCUAUCAAUCCAUGACCAAAUUCGAUCAUACUCACAUCCGGACCCGUUCUAGGGAUUCGGACGUUAUCAGUACAAAAUGCACAAAAGUCAAUGAAAAAAUAAAAAAUUACAACUUCCCCGAAGGGACCGCCAGUCAGCAGGAUUCCACCUCGAAAUCGAGAGUCACAAAAAACCUCUCUCGCCCCAAAAACACUAUCAACAUCCCCAAGCGGGCGGAACCGGGAGCCGUGCAUAAAACCACCCAGGAUACCAUCAAGUCAAAGGACUCGAAAAUGAAAAAUUCUAGUCCGGAUAGGAAAGCAUUUCGCCUGCCCAGUCCUUACGCUAAUCUAUCGUCAACUAGCUUUGAGCGUACAUCGAGUCCUAGCUCGUCGUCGGAUUCCACUUGUCCUACGACGCCUAGCCGCUGUCCCAUCCUGCCAUCGGCACGAAGACACAAUUUCGCGGCGGCUCGAAGUAAUUCCAAGGAGGCGGAGCGACGGAAGGAGAAGCAUCCGGCCGGGAAGGCGACAGCAGUUGGCGGUAAUAACAAUGAAAGUGUUUCGGAUAAUGCAAACAACAAUGGUGGGAGCAACAAUGCGAAAGUGAAUGGGCAGACCAACGGAUGGUCCGUAACAGUUGCCGGCUCCUACAAUCAAGACAUGGCUCCUGACUUAGAAAUGCGUCUAAGUUUCCCCAAACCUGGCGGUAGUGGUGGUCUUCAACAUCAACAACAAUCAAUUACAUCAAAUCAAACCGUACAUCAAAAUGUCUCCGACCGUCGAGAGAUUCAUCAUCACCAACGCGUCACCAACGGGAACAACAUUUACAGCGAGAGCCACUAUCAGGACGAGGACCUUUUGAAUGACAAUUUUACGCGGAGUAACAAUCAUCAUCAAUUCCAAGCGUUACCGCCAGCAGGAAAUCCGAAACGGACGUUGACCAGAAUUGUAUCAGGUUUGUCUAAGAGCGAACUCAUAGCCAACGUGAUAUCAACUUUCCGGAAGUGAGCCCGUCAUCGAGAAAUCCCAUCGCAUCGCGGCAAAUGGCUAAAAAGGCGAUCAAGCACACGGAAUGUAGUGUAGCGGUGACUUCAGCUACACGAACCAUUUCCAACUUCACCCGCGGACGCAGGACUAUGUCGUAUCAGUCCCUGAACACGGCAGAGUCACUAAGGACCAAUACGAAUAAGAACACCAACA